UGGGGAAUUUUGGACAAUGGGGGCAACCCUGAUCCAGCAAUGCCGCGUGUGUGAAGAAGGCCUUCGGGUUGUAAAGCACUUUUGUCCGGAAAGAAAACUUCGGGGCUAAUACCCCUGGAGGAUGACGGUACCGGAAGAAUAAGCACCGGCUAACUACGUGCCAGCAGCCGCAGUAAUACGUAGGGUGCGAGCGUUAAUCGGAAUUACUGGGCGUAAAGCGUGCGCAGGCGGUGCUGUAAGACCGAUGUGAAAUCCCCGGGAUUAACCUGGGAGCUGCAUUGGUGACUGCAGCGCUGGAGUAUGGCAGAGGGGGGUGGAAUUCCACGUGUAGCAGUGAAAUGCGUAGAGAUGUGGAGGAACACCGAUGGCGAAGGCAGCCCCCUGGGCCAAUACUGACGCUCAUGCACGAAAGCGUGGGGAGCAAACAGG
This 429-nucleotide ribosomal RNA is filed under the name bacterium. RNAcentral's name for it is "partial 16S ribosomal RNA". It matches the Rfam family "Bacterial small subunit ribosomal RNA", at positions 355 to 776 of the family's 1533-position model. The record is from RNAcentral.